This 522-nucleotide ribosomal RNA is filed under the name uncultured Glomus. Its description in RNAcentral is "SSU rRNA". It matches the Rfam family "Eukaryotic small subunit ribosomal RNA", at positions 569 to 1092 of the family's 1831-position model. Lineage: Eukaryota; Fungi; Glomeromycota; Glomeromycetes; Glomerales; Glomeraceae. The record is from RNAcentral.
AGCAGCCGCGGUAAUUCCAGCUCCAAUAGCGUAUAUUAAAGUUGUUGCAGUUAAAAAGCUCGUAGUUGAAUUUCGGGGUCAGUAGGUUGGUCGUGCCACUGGUAUGUACUGGCCUCACUGGUUCCUCCUUCUUGAAGAACCGUAAUGCCAUUAAUUUGGUGUUGCGGGGAAACAGGACUGUUACUUUGAAAAAAUUAGAGUGUUUAAAGCAGGCUAACGCUUGAAUACAUUAGCAUGGAAUAAUGAAAUAGGACGUUCGAUCCUAUUUUGUUGGUUUCUAGGAUUGACGUAAUGAUUAAUAGGGAUAGUUGGGGGCAUUAGUAUUCAAUUGUCAGAGGUGAAAUUCUUGGAUUUAUUGAAGACUAACUACUGCGAAAGCAUUUGCCAAGGAUGUUUUCAUUAAUCAAGAACGAAAGUUAGGGGAUCGAAGACGAUCAGAUACCGUCGUAGUCUUAACCAUAAACUAUGCCGACUAGGGAUCGGAUGAUGUUAAUUUUUUAAUGACUCAUUCGGCGCCUUACG